RNAcentral lists this ribosomal RNA (478 nucleotides) under uncultured bacterium. Its description in RNAcentral is "partial 16S ribosomal RNA". It matches the Rfam family "Bacterial small subunit ribosomal RNA", at positions 28 to 523 of the family's 1533-position model. The record is from RNAcentral.
GAUGAACGCUGACAGAAUGCUUAACACAUGCAAGUCUACUUGAUUCUACUUCGGUAGUUGAUGGUGGCGGACGGGUGAGUAACGCGUAAAGAAUCUGCCCUUUAGUUUGGGAUAACCUUUGGAAACGAAGGCUAAUACCGGAUAUUAUGGAGACGUCGCAUGACGACUCCAUGAAAGCUAUAUGCGCUAGAGGAGGACUUUGCGUCCCAUUAGUUAGUUGGUGAGGUAAUGGCUCACCAAGACCGCGAUGGGUAGCCGGCCUGAGAGGGUGGUCGGCCACAAGGGAACUGAGACCCGGUCCUUACUCCUACGGGAGGCAGCAGUGGGGAAUAUUGGACAAUGGGCCACAAGCCUGAUCCAGCAAUUCUGUGUGCACGAUGAAGGUCUUCGGAUUGUAAAGUGCUUUCAGUAGGGAAGAAAAAAAUGACGGUACCUACAGAAGAAGCGACGGCUAAAUAUGUGCCAGCCGCCGCCGUAA